Molecule: ribosomal RNA, 433 nt
Filed under: uncultured bacterium
Lineage: Bacteria
Description: partial 16S ribosomal RNA
Rfam family: Bacterial small subunit ribosomal RNA
Source: RNAcentral
GAUGAACGCUGGCGGUAUGCUUAACACAUGCAAGUCGAACGGACUCUUCGGAGUUAGUGGCGGACGGGUGAGUAACGCGUGAGAAUCUGGCUUUGGGUUCGGGACAACCACUGGAAACGGUGGCUAAUACCGGAUGUGCCGAGAGGUAAAAGAGAAAUUGCCUGAAGAUGAGCUCGCGUCUGAUUAGCUAGUUGGUGAGGUAAAGGCUCACCAAGGCAGCGAUCAGUAGCUGGUCUGAGAGGAUGACCAGCCACACUGGGACUGAGACACGGCCCAGACUCCUACGGGAGGCAGCAGUGGGGAAUUUUCCGCAAUGGGCGAAAGCCUGACGGAGCAAUACCGCGUGAGGGAAGAAGGCUCUUGGGUUGUAAACCUCUUUUCUUAGGGAAGAACAAAAUGACGGUACCUAAGGAAUCAGCAUCGGCUAACUCCG